UCUGAUGAAUGCUCCUCUAGCUUUAUUGCAAUCCUAGUGCACAAAUCUUUAUUAAAACGUUCCUGUGAGAUUCAGCGGACUCUUGAAAGUAAACAGAGACACUGCUGCAUGUCUUCCUUUGUCGCAAACAAUUUUUGCUUCAGAAAGACUUUUUUUAAAACCUCCUUUCUUACUUAAUCAUGGUGCAGGUCUACAAAUGUGACAGAGUGUUUAAUUAUCUUUUUAACUCUUCACAUUCAUUCUGCCUUCCACUGGUUCUUUUUGCUGCUCAUUACCUUUUACAGAGUUUGCUCUCGAAGAAACUGAAAGCUGAGAGAAGAAUUUAGAAGCAGACUUUCCUGGCAAAGAACUUUCUGAGUGCAUCUGAAAUAAACAGCACAGCAAAAAUA
Molecule: non-coding RNA, 389 nt
Organism: Phalacrocorax carbo (great cormorant)
Lineage: Eukaryota; Metazoa; Chordata; Aves; Suliformes; Phalacrocoracidae
Source: RefSeq, a predicted model, not a curated record